Mytilus trossulus (common blue mussel) is the source of this 1409-nucleotide long non-coding RNA. RefSeq lists it as uncharacterized. The record is from RefSeq and is a predicted model, not a curated record. Lineage: Eukaryota; Metazoa; Mollusca; Bivalvia; Mytilida; Mytilidae. The transcript has 2 exons.
UUGUCUUUUGUCGUUUUCCAUUUAUUGCCGUAGCAUUGUCCGUUCAUUUUUGACAGUCAUGUGCGUUUGACUUUAAAUAAUCCUUUUGAUAUCCUUACUUUUUAUUUUAUAAUAUCUGUUUUAUAACAUUUUCGUUCAUAACUGGUUUUAAAAACCAGAAGCUUUCGUUUAAAAUAGAGUUUUAAUAUUAUUGCAGAAGAAUGAGAAGAUGAUAAUGGAUUCAUUCAAAUUCAUAUUUGAUAAAUUCUGCGCAAUAGAAAAAUGUACAAGGGUGUACCUGAAAUAAAUUUAAAGAUUAUGACUAAGUUACCAAUAUUGUACAGCAUAAUAAACCCGUUUUAAUUCGAAUUACACCAAGAGGGACAUUUCCGAUGAUUAAAAAAAUAAUAAGUAAAAUCUGUCAAGUUUCAUUAAAAACGGAAAACAAUUCUUCACCGUAAACGAUUUAUCCACUUUAAUUUUUUGUCGGCAAAAAAACAAAAAAACCGGGACCUCAGGUCGGCAAACUAUAUUUUUACACAGGUAACUACAGAUGUUAGACCACAUAUGUUCAAUAAUCUGAGCUGGAAAAUACAAUCGAAUCAUACUGAAUAUGUAUUGGUUUGACCAUGAUUCCCACUUUAAUAGAAUAUGACACCUGCUAGUACAUGUGCACUUUGAUGCAUAGAAAAUAUAGAUGUCACUGAGUCGCUGUAUAGCUGCAAAUUGUGAAACAAUGGAUUAAUUCAUUAUUUAAUGCUAGUUAUCUAUUGUUUUUGGAAAUUAUGAAUAUGGCGUGCAGCAUUAUUCAAUGAUGAUAAUGUGAUGUUCUGAUUAAAUUGGACAAGAAGAAAAUUGUGCCUUGUACAAAUAGGAAAAUUACAAAUUGUAUUAAAGGAGGACCACAUUACUGGAGGACUAAAUACCUUGGAUUAUCAUGAUCAAUUGUGAAUUUGGAAUAACAAAAUUUCGUAGUUGCAGUGAAUAUUAAUAGUGCAAUCAUACAUGUACAUUAUUUCUGAAUUCCAUGAAUACCCAGGAUAACUAUUCAUUUGAAAUAGCAAUUUGGAAUAAUGAAAAUGCAUAGUUUCAGUGAAUACUACUAAUAAUAGUGCAUCAUAUCUGAAUUCAUGAAUACUUUAAAUUAGUGGAUAAUCAGUCAUUUUAAUAUAAUCAUGAUAAUAACAAUAUGGAUAAUGUGAAUUUCUAGUUUCAGUGAAAUUAACAAAACAGUACAUGUAUAUCACAUCUGAAGUUUAUGUUGGCAUUGCAAUUGUUUACUACCGCCAGCAUGUCCAGGGUGUGUAAAAAGAUCUUAACCAACUAUGAGGGUCUCGUGCAGUCCGUGUCAAUUGUUUAGAGUCAAAUGACUGCUUGCUGUACUUAAAUUAUUAAAGUCUGAAUUAGAAUUAAAUAAAAAUCUUAAUUAG